UACGUAGGGACCAAGCGUUGUUCGGAUUUACUGGGCGUAAAGGGCGCGUAGGCGGCAAUUCAAGUCAGCUGUGAAAUCUCCGGGCUUAACUCGGAACGGUCAGCUGAUACUGCUUUGCUAGAGUGCAGAAGGGGCAAUCGGAAUUCUUGGUGUAGCGGUGAAAUGCGUAGAUAUCUGGAGGAACACCGGUGGCGAAGGCGGCAUCCUGGACCGGCAUUGACGCUGAGGCGCGAAAGCCAGGGGAGCAAACGGG
This 253-nucleotide ribosomal RNA is filed under the name uncultured bacterium. RNAcentral's name for it is "partial 16S ribosomal RNA". It matches the Rfam family "Bacterial small subunit ribosomal RNA", at positions 524 to 776 of the family's 1533-position model. The record is from RNAcentral.